This 253-nucleotide ribosomal RNA is filed under the name uncultured bacterium. Its description in RNAcentral is "partial 16S ribosomal RNA". It matches the Rfam family "Bacterial small subunit ribosomal RNA", at positions 524 to 776 of the family's 1533-position model. The record is from RNAcentral.
UACGUAGGGUGCGAGCGUUAAUCGGAAUUACUGGGCGUAAAGCGUGCGCAGGCGGUUCGUUAUGUCCGUUGUGAAAGCCCCGGGCUCAACCUGGGAAUGGCAAUGGAAACUGGCGGGCUAGAGUGUGGCAGAGGGGGGUGGAAUUCCGCGUGUAGCAGUGAAAUGCGUAGAGAUGCGGAGGAACACCGAUGGCGAAGGCAGCCCCCUGGGCUAGCACUGACGCUGAGGUGCGAAAGCGUGGGGAGCAAACAGG